This is a long non-coding RNA of Myotis davidii, 115 nucleotides long. RefSeq lists it as uncharacterized. The transcript is spliced from 3 exons. Lineage: Eukaryota; Metazoa; Chordata; Mammalia; Chiroptera; Vespertilionidae. The record is from RefSeq and is a predicted model, not a curated record.
GCAUCAACGUCACAAAGUAACACAGUACGAGAAGGACAGGGAUUCUCUGUAUGCGCAGGGAAAGCAGCGUUAUGACAGGAAGCAGAGUGGCUAUGGGGAGGGGACAAAACCGGCA